UACGUAGGUGGCAAGCGUUGUCCGGAUUUAUUGGGUUUAAAGGGUGCGUAGGCGGCCCUGUAAGUCAGUGGUGAAAUACUCCAGCUUAACUGGAGGGGUGCCAUUGAUACUGCAGGGCUUGAGUGGAGUCGAAGUAGGCGGAAUUGACGGUGUAGCGGUGAAAUGCUUAGAUAUCGUCAAGAACACCGAUAGUGAAGACAGUCUACUAGGCUUCUACUGACGCUGAGGCACGAAAGUGUGGGGAUCAAACAGG
Molecule: ribosomal RNA, 253 nt
Filed under: uncultured bacterium
Lineage: Bacteria
Description: partial 16S ribosomal RNA
Rfam family: Bacterial small subunit ribosomal RNA
Source: RNAcentral